RNAcentral lists this ribosomal RNA (404 nucleotides) under uncultured bacterium. RNAcentral's name for it is "bacterial SSU rRNA". It matches the Rfam family "Bacterial small subunit ribosomal RNA", at positions 355 to 776 of the family's 1533-position model. The record is from RNAcentral.
UGAGGAAUUUUGCGCAAUGGGCGAAAGCCUGACGCAGCGACGCCGCGUGGAGGAUGAAGUCUUUCGAGAUGUAAACUUCUGUCAGUAGGGAUGAUAAUGACAGUACCUACAGAGGAAGCACCGGCUAACUCCGUGCCAGCAGCCGCGGUAAUACGGAGGGUGCAAGCGUUGUUCGGAAUUACUGGGCGUAAAGCGUACGUAGGCGGCGAGUUAAGUCGAAUGUUAAAGCCCGGGGCUCAACCCCGUGGAUGCCUUCGAUACUGGCUUGCUAGAGGGUGAUAGAGGAAAGUGGAAUUCCGAGUGUAGCGGUGAAAUGCGUAGAUAUUCGGAGGAACAUCAGUAGCGAAGGCGACUUUCUGGGUCACACCUGACGCUGAGGUACGAAAGCGUGGGUAGCAAACAGG